This is a long non-coding RNA of Aphis gossypii (cotton aphid), 803 nucleotides long. RefSeq lists it as uncharacterized. The record is from RefSeq and is a predicted model, not a curated record. Lineage: Eukaryota; Metazoa; Arthropoda; Insecta; Hemiptera; Aphididae. The transcript is spliced from 4 exons.
AUUUCUACACACAUUCAUAUAAUACUUUAAAGAUGAUUACUAAUAUUUUUACAUGAUACAUUAGGCGCACAUUACAAAGAUUAAAACUGAGGUUUAUUGAUACCCAACAAACCUAAAUUUUAAAAUCUAUUUAACAAAUUUUUGAACAAAAUUAUUCAUAGAUAGUUUGCACAUAAUUAAUGGUUAAAUUUUAUCUGGCAAUGUGGAUAUUGCUAUUAUUUUACAAAAAUCUUGCAUAUGACUAUUGACUACACCCGUGACCCGUCUAUACAGUUAUAGUUUGAAAGAAGACUACCUACUAAGGAAUUUUAUCUUGUAGUGUGUUAACAAUGUUUAUUUAUCUCUAUAUUAAUGUAUAUUGCACUUCAAAGAUGAUUACCAAUGUUUCUAUGUAUAAUACAUAAGCUGCUCAAUGUAAGUCCAAAUGGCAUUCCUUAAGAACAGCUUACACAAGUUAUCUUCGAGAAGCAAAAAAUGCUCCUAGUAGGUCUGCUGCUAAGAAGAAAAAGUGGCACUUGGCUGAUGCAAUGUCGUUUUUAUCAAAUUACGCUGGGUCACAAAGAAAAAUUAUAAGUAACCUUUCUGGGCCUAAUACAGUGAAGGCUAGUGAAGAAGUAAGAGAUUUAGAGGUAGGGGUUAGUAAGGAUGGUAGCGAAUUUGUUCCUGAAAAAUCGAGUCUCAACUAGAAAUAGACAAUAUUGAGGGACAAUACUUCACUGUGAUAAAGGAACUCUCGUCAAAGGAAACAAAAUAAGAAUAAAACAAUUAAGUCAUCGGCUGCUAAAGUCAUUGCUGGUCCUACA